AGCGAACGCUGGCGGCAGGCCUAACACAUGCCAGUCGAACGAACUCUUCGGAGUUAGUGGCGGACGGGUGAGUAACACGUUGGAACGUGCCUUUAGGUUCGGAAUAACUCAGGGAAACUUGUGCUAAUACCGAAUGUGCCCUUCGGGGGAAAGAUUUAUCGCCUUUAGAGCGGCCCGCGUCUGAUUAGCUAGUUGGUGAGGUAAAGGCUCACCAAGGCGACGAUCAGUAGCUGGUCUGAGAGGAUGAUCAGCCACAUUGGGACUGAGACACGGCCCAAACUCGUACGGGAGGCAGCAGUGGGGAAUCUUGCGCAAUGGGCGAAAGCCUGACGCAGCCAUGCCGCGUGAAUGAUGAAGGUCUUAGGAUUGUAAAAUUCUUUCAACGGGGACGAUAAUGACGGUACCCGGAGAAGAAGCCCCGGCUAACUUCGUG
This 433-nucleotide ribosomal RNA is filed under the name uncultured bacterium. RNAcentral's name for it is "partial 16S ribosomal RNA". It matches the Rfam family "Bacterial small subunit ribosomal RNA", at positions 29 to 507 of the family's 1533-position model. The record is from RNAcentral.